UUAGUGGCGGACGGGUGAGUAACGCGUGGAAAACCUGCCGUAUACUGGGGGAUAACACUUAGAAAUAGGUGCUAAUACCGCAUAAGCGCACAGUCUCGCAUGAGACGGUGUGAAAAACUCCGGUGGUAUACGAUGGAUCCGCGUCUGAUUAGCUUGUUGGCGGGGUAACAGCCCACCAAGGCGACGAUCAGUAGCCGGCCUGAGAGGGUGAACGGCCACAUUGGGACUGAGACACGGCCCAAACUCCUACGGAAGGCAGCAG
RNAcentral lists this ribosomal RNA (262 nucleotides) under uncultured bacterium. Its description in RNAcentral is "partial 16S ribosomal RNA". It matches the Rfam family "Bacterial small subunit ribosomal RNA", at positions 92 to 354 of the family's 1533-position model. The record is from RNAcentral.